ACUCUUAAAGGAUAAUAGUUAAUCCAUUGAUCUUAGAAAUCAAAACCCCCGGUGCAACUCCGAGUAAAAGUU
Molecule: transfer RNA, 72 nt
Filed under: Plethodon petraeus (Pigeon Mountain salamander)
Lineage: Eukaryota; Metazoa; Chordata; Amphibia; Caudata; Plethodontidae
Description: tRNA-Leu
Rfam family: tRNA
About the family: Transfer RNA (tRNA) molecules are approximately 80 nucleotides in length.
Source: RNAcentral